This 468-nucleotide ribosomal RNA is filed under the name uncultured bacterium. Its description in RNAcentral is "partial 16S ribosomal RNA". It matches the Rfam family "Bacterial small subunit ribosomal RNA", at positions 28 to 507 of the family's 1533-position model. The record is from RNAcentral.
GACGAACGCUGGCGGCGUGCUUAACACAUGCAAGUCGAACGGAAAGGCCCUGCUUUUGUGGGGUGCUCGAGUGGCGAACGGGUGAGUAACACGUGAGUAACCUGCCCUUGACUUUGGGAUAACUUCAGGAAACUGGGGCUAAUACCGGAUAGGAGCUCCUGCUGCAUGGUGGGGGUUGGUAAGUUUCGGCGGUUGGGGAUGGACUCGCGGCUUAUCAGCUUGUUGGUGAGGUAGUGGAUUACCAAGGCUUUGACGGGUAGCCGGCCUGGGAGGGUGACCGGCCACAUUAGGACUGAGAUAGGGCCCAGACUCCUACGGGAGGCAGCAGUGGAGAGUAUUGCGCAAUGGGCGGACGCCUGAUACAGCGACGCCGCGUGCGGGAUGACGGCUUUUGGGUUGUAAACCGCUUUCGCCUGUGACGAAGCGUGAGUGACGGUAAUGGGUAAAGAAGCAACGGCUAACUACGUG